CGCCUGUUCCUGUUCCCUUUCUGCCUUCUCCAAGCUGCCUGACCUCAUGACGGUUGAGUUAUCUGUGGUACUUUGUUGUAAAUUGGAGUUAACUGGUGGGACCUGGCUGCUGCUCCCACAGUCCUCUCUGGAAGGCUCAAGCAGGAUCCGGGAGACUUGUUAGGCACAAGAAAGAAACCGGGCACUCGUCUCAUCAGACGCUGAAGACUAGGAUGGCCACUUGUGGGUCAUGCUUCUGGUGCAUCGUGUGGCUGCUGGUCCUGCUGAUCAUUGGCUGGCCCAUCAGCAUCACCUUGGGGGGUCUCUAUGGCCUAAUUAGCCCCCUCACUACCUGCCUGGGGUUGGACCGCCUCUCUGAUUUACUGCUGGAGGGAGCCAACGUGGGCCGGACCUGUGCCAACAAUAUGAGACACGCCAAGCCUUUGUGUUGAGAAAUCAACACUUGAUCACACGGAUCACAGCCGACGUUGUUGCCUUCACCUGAAGAGAGAGCUCCCCUUUCAGAACUGUUAAUGUCUGUUUUUUUAAUACACUGAAAGUUUCAAAAGGUCUGGAAAAUGGUUUCCACUUCAGCUGUUAACACAAGUAUUAACCUCAGAUUUAUGGUUUGUUUGGGUUUUUCAGGAAGAAAAUAGGCUUUGGGUUCACGGUCUGAGCUUGCUGUUUAAUUCAUGAUGACACUGCGUACAGAAGAUAAGAAGGAAAAGAGCAUUUUUAAUAAUGGACAUAUUUUGACUUUUAAAUGACUAUGGAAAGUUAUAAUGCGAUUAAACAUGCUUUUGAACUUGC
Long non-coding RNA from Oryzias latipes (Japanese medaka), 789 nucleotides. RefSeq lists it as uncharacterized. The record is from RefSeq and is a predicted model, not a curated record. NCBI's taxonomy places the organism in Eukaryota, Metazoa, Chordata, Actinopteri, Beloniformes, Adrianichthyidae.